This 252-nucleotide ribosomal RNA is filed under the name uncultured bacterium. RNAcentral describes it as "partial 16S ribosomal RNA". It matches the Rfam family "Bacterial small subunit ribosomal RNA", at positions 524 to 776 of the family's 1533-position model. The record is from RNAcentral.
UACGAAGGGGGCUAGCGUUGUUCGGAAUUACUGGGCGUAAAGCGCACGUAGGCGGAUGUGUCAGUCAGGGGUGAAAUCCCGGAGCUCAACUUCGGAACUGCCUUUGAUACAGCACGUCUUGAGUCCGGAAGAGGUGGGUGGAAUUCCUAGUGUAGAGGUGAAUUCGUAGAUAUUAGGAAGAACACCGGUGGCGAAGGCGGCCCACUGGUCCGGUACUGACGCUGAGGUGCGAAAGCGUGGGGAGCAAACAGG